CCCCCCGGCGCUGCCCCCGCGCCGCCCGGCCCGCCACGGCCCGUGGACACGAAAGCCAGAAAUGGUGAGAUGACUGGUGCCUCGCUGACGCUCACAGAGCAAAACCUUCCAUAGCCCGGGGGUGAGACUUGCAAAACUGUCCUUCACGGUCACCCCGGAAAGUAGGAGGCUUUUUCCGCAGACGCAAAAAAAAAAAAAAAAAAAAAGGCCUUCCAUCCCCCUCAGGACUGGGUUUGAAUUGCUUUUCAUCUGGAGUGGCAGUGAUUCAGCGACCCCCUUCUCAGCAGCAGGCAGUGACAGAGACAGGAGACGAAAAACACAGCGAAUGAAUCAGACGCAUUUAGAGAGACAAGAGGCAGGCUGCCCACCCAGAAGCACCAUCUCACCCAUCAGGAAUAGCCCCCAAGUUAAGGAUCCCAGAGAUUCCACGCAAGCAGCGACAUGGAAAAGAAGCUGAUGCUACAGAGGGAUAUGAAUGCAGGAAGAGAUGGAAGAUGCCCACGACUGAGAAGGCCCAUCCUUCAGGGGUGAGCUUUCCCGAGAGCCCUGUGGCUGAUCAACAGCUGACUCCUGGAGUCCUGCCCCGCCGGCUGACAACUGCAGGAAUCUUGGACCAGCUCUUGGACCAGAGAAUUGAGUUCCUUCCUCAAACGCGCGUUGACCCUCAUCAUAUUUCUGCCAGUAUCAGCAAGGCUAAGCAUAUUUCAUGA
RNAcentral lists this long non-coding RNA (710 nucleotides) under Camelus dromedarius (Arabian camel). RNAcentral's name for it is "lncRNA (ENSCDRG00005020147.1)". Lineage: Eukaryota; Metazoa; Chordata; Mammalia; Artiodactyla; Camelidae. The record is from RNAcentral.